Molecule: ribosomal RNA, 292 nt
Filed under: uncultured bacterium
Lineage: Bacteria
Description: partial 16S ribosomal RNA
Rfam family: Bacterial small subunit ribosomal RNA
Source: RNAcentral
GUGUCAGCAGCCGCGGUAAUACGUAGGGUGCAAGCGUUAAUCGGAAUUACUGGGCGUAAAGCGUGCGCAGGCGGCUUUGCAAGACAGAUGUGAAAUCCCCGGGCUUAACCUGGGAACUGCAUUUGUGACUGCAUGGCUGGAGUGCGGCAGAGGGGGAUGGAAUUCCGCGUGUAGCAGUGAAAUGCGUAGAUAUGCGGAGGAACACCGAUGGCGAAGGCAAUCCCCUGGGCCUGCACUGACGCUCAUGCACGAAAGCGUGGGGAGCAAACAGGAUUAGAAACCCCCGUAGUCC